GAUGAACGCUGGCGGCGUGCCUAAUACAUGCAAGUCGAGCGAACGGACGAGAAGUUUGCUUCUCGGACGUUAGCGGCGGGCGGGUGUGAAACACGUGGAUAACCCCCCUAUAAUACUGGUAAAAUCACGGGAAUCCGUAGAUAAUACCGUAUGAUAUUCUGCACCGCAUGGUUCAAAAGUGAAAGUCGGUCUUGCUGUCUCUUAUAGAUGGAUCCGGGCUGCAUUGGCUAGUAGGUAAGGUAAAGGCUUAUCACGGCGACGAUGCAUAGCCGAGGUGAGAGGGGGAUAGGCCACAUUGGAACUGGGACACGCACCUGACUCCUACGGGAGGCAGCAGUAGCGAAUCUUCCGCAGUGGGCGAAAGCCUGACGGAGCGGCGCGGCGUGAGUGAUGAAGGUCUUCGGAUCGUAAUACUCUGUUAUUAGUGGAAAACAUAUUUGUAAGUAACUGAGCACAUCUUGACGGUACCUAAUCAGAAAGCCCCGGCUAACUACGUG
Molecule: ribosomal RNA, 497 nt
Filed under: uncultured bacterium
Lineage: Bacteria
Description: partial 16S ribosomal RNA
Rfam family: Bacterial small subunit ribosomal RNA
Source: RNAcentral